Molecule: long non-coding RNA, 34842 nt
Filed under: Vitis vinifera (wine grape)
Lineage: Eukaryota; Viridiplantae; Streptophyta; Magnoliopsida; Vitales; Vitaceae
Description: long non-coding RNA (VVIN_LNC005140)
Source: RNAcentral
UGCCUUUUUUGUUCUUUCCCCCGAUAAUCAGUGGGCUUGUGACGUCUUUCCAAUUGUUAAGUUCAAUCCUGAUGUUUAUGGAAUUUACAGUUGACUAAUAGCUUCAACAUCCCAGUUUUCUCCUACAACCCAAAGUAGAUGAAAGUAGAAUUUUCCUGAAAUUAUACCAAUGAAUCCAUACAGAGCUUGUGGUCAUGCUUGUGAGACUGCAAGAACCCAUGAUGCUUGGUGUUCUUCAACUUUAAAAAGACUUUAAGAAACCUCACCCAAAAUAGAUGAAAAUUUGAAUUUUCCUGAAAUUAUGCCAUUCAAUGCUUUUAUGAAUGGUGCUUGUGAUCAUGUCUGAAAAUAACUAAAUUUGUCAGGAAAGUGAGACUGCAAGAAGUCAAGACCCUUGGUGAUAUUCAACUUUAAAGACGCUUAAAGAAGUUUCACCAUUGAGCUUGAAGGUUUGCCAGAGAUCAGUGAGUCCCUUCUACUCAUUUUAUUUCUGUGUUGGCCCCAGAUCACUCUGCUUUGGGUUCUAACACUGCAUUGAUGGCUGGUUCAGAUACGAGAAGGCAGAUUUCAAACUCUUGAUCAAUGCCUUGUCCAUGAGUAUAGAAUGUCUGUUCAAGGAUUUUAUGGACAGAUUUUCAAUGACUUUCGUGAGGUACUAAGUUUCUUUAUUUCCUAGUGAAUAUAGAAACUUUCUUGAUCUUUUCAUUCUAUUUAUGUCCCUUUUUUUAUUAGGGGGUCCGAGCACGAAUGGUGGAAAAGGACUAUGCACCUAAGGUAUCAGUAGUGUACAUUAUUUUCCAAUACGUUGGAGGGUGAUGAUAUUUCCAUGGGGGUUGUGACAAUCCAAUAAAAAGUUCCACUUUUCAAUGCCUAAAAAUGGCUGUUAAUGAGAAAAUGCAUUAGUUGGGGUUCUCACAAUCACUGAAUUAUCAUAAUCCUCUGCCACUAGGUUAUCAAAACCAUGUUGGUGAUAUUGCUACGCUGCUUAUCAUGUGCAAUUAGCUAUCAAGCAGUUUGGAUAGUAAGAUUCUCGUCAUUUUUAUACAUGCAGAGGAACCCCCCUAGCUUGGAACAAGUAUCCAAUGACAUGGUGGAUCAGUAUUUUUUCACCUAUUAGUGAGCUGGAGCCAGAACUAGAGAUGCCAACAAGAAAGGAAGAAGCAUUUACCCAGAUGGCCAAAAAAAAAAAUUUUGUUAUCUGAUUUGAGUGACUUGAGAAGCAGGGAAAUGUGGAUGCAAUAUCACAUGCUAGCCCGCCCUUUGGGAAAAUUGGUUAUGCUUGCAUUACACAGGUUUACUUUGUUUAUGCAAUGACAAGCUAGAGAUUCCUAAUACCAAUGUUUUUUUUGUCCCCUGGAAACUCUUCCUACGAGAAACAACAGAAAUUGUCUCUGGAGAAAAACCAGGCAAACACAAGCGUCAAUAAGCUUCUAUGAAGUGCAGUCUUUCAAGUUUUGGGUUGUCUGCUUUGGAAUUUUCUGGGUUAAUGUAAUGGAUCCCUUGUAAUAGAACAUGAUUUUAUUUUAAUGGGUCAUUCUAGGGCACAGUUGAAAACAUUAUAUUGCCCUUCUCUGCAGUAUAGGCUAUUUGAAACAAAGAUUGGUUUUCCUAUUUUAAUUUAACUACCUAUUGUAACUUUUCAAUUGAAAAUUUGAAUUAUCAUUCAAGUUGAAGAUCCAUCAUUUUCCUUCUUUGUCAUAAAUAUUAAGACAAUUUGACUGUGAUGAAUACCUGUUUAAAGUACAGUCAUUUCAUACAUUAUUCGUAUUAAAGAAUGUAGGUAACAAUUAUUUGGCUUUUCAAAAUUUAUGGACCAGAACACUUUUGGCCCGGAUAAAUAUCAAAAAAUAAGAUAUGGCUUACACUAUGAAUGUAGGGACGUGUUCCUCAAAGUCACAGCAGAAUCCUAACUAUUUUCAGCUGCCUUAUUGGCCUUGUAGGUGUUCACUAAUUGCAGCUGCACAUCUUGAGAAACCGGUGAAUGCUCUUUGUAUUCCAUUGUGAAUUCACCUUUCCCCUGCACAUAGAGGAUCAAAUAACAUAUAUUUUAACAUAUUCUGCAGAGCAACUCCAGCUAUGGCAUAGCCCUUAUAAAAUGAUACUUAGUUUUACCUGAGUCAUUGAACGAAGUGAUGUUGAGUACCCAAACAUAUUGUUUAGAGGGACCUGUGAAGCAGAAAAUGAUUCCACAAAUAAUUACUUACAAUAAAACUGAUGCAAACCAAUAGUACUGCUAAUACUGACGAUUGAAGCAAGCUUGACAAGGUGAUUCUUAGAACCCUGAGUCUCUUCCAUACAAUUCCAAUGCUUUCUGAUUAACUACUCUUCAAUUUUAUUUUAUUUUUUUGACAGGCAAAUAAAAUAAAUGUAUUAACAAAAAACACCUACCAAAAGUGCUCCAAGGUACACAAGUCAUAACUAGUGACGCCAAAAAGCAAAAACACAAAAGAGCAAGAAAAACAAAAAUCCCUUCAUGAAAACCCUAACCAAUCUAUAAACUCUUAACAUGGUUAGGGAUCAUCUAUGUACAAUCUACAAUCUAUCCCACAACAAAAGGCUAUAAAGACAUGUGAUUAGCGCUUGAUUAGGCAUUUUUUUUGCUUUCAAAUGAUCUCCAAUUCCUUCCCUUACAUAAUGUCCAAAAUGUACACAAUGGGACAAACCUCUAGACCUUUCAUUUUUUGUCCAAAAUGUACCAGGACACCCUAAAAGUGUUUCUCUUACUGAACUUGCCAUCACCCACACAACCCAAAACAAGGAAAACACCAAAUUCCAUAACACCCUACCUCCCCAUACAAUGUAGAAAGAUGUGAUCUAUAGACUCUUCAUCUUCCUUACAAAGAAAAUAUUGAGUCACCAAUAAGACCAUCCUUUCCUAGGCAAUUGAUCUAGAGAAAUUUUUCCAACAAGCUUGGCACACUUCCACUCUUUAAUGCCUCAGCAAAGUGUAGCAGGAUUUAACUGAAAACUUAUUCUUCCUUGCAUCCAUCCAUUCCAUUUUAUUUUCCUCAUCCCUUCUCACAAUCUUCCCUUUAAGGCUCGAGAGAAAGGCCUUAACCUAUCCAUCACCCCAAUCAUUCAAGGGCUCCAACGCCCUCCCUCACCCUGCUGAUCCCAUACACUGUUGUCAAAAGCAAAAGGCCAUAUCAAGGCAAUAAGACUCCUUUUAACCUAAGGAGAAAGGCGAAAAACAAGGCGAUAGCUUAACUAUAGUAAGGCGAUAAAAAAUAUAUAUAUAUUUACCUAUUCGAUAUUCAACCAAUAUAAGUGUUGUCUCCAACAAUCAACACUAUUAAUUUUUCAUCACUUACAAUGUCUUAUAAAAUUAACAAUAUAGUAAUAAUUAUUGAAAGUGCUAAAUAUUAUACCCCAUAUUAUAAAAUAAAAAAAUCAUAUUGUUUAAAAAUAUUCAUCCUAUCUAAAUGUAUAUUCUAAUUUUUCAAACAUCUAAAAAGCAAAAUAAAAAAUAAAAUAAGAGAUUGAACAUUCUAGAGAAGCUUUAGGCAUCAUCAUCAUAGUCAUUAUUGAAAUUAAAAUUGUCAUUACUUCCAUCAAGACUAGAUUGAUAACCCUCCAUCUUGUUAUCUCUAUGAUUAAUAAUAUAAUAUUUUAUCUCAUACUUUGUUUAAUCUUAUGCUAGAUUGAAUGAAAUUAUAAUCUACAUAUGUUUAAUCUUAGUUCAUGGUCAAAGGCGACCACCUCUAUGCCUUGUGCCUUAUCCCAAGGUGAUUGCCUAGGCAUUAUCUCUUUGAAGUCGUAUUGCCUAGGUCUUCAGAAGACGACUUUUAUCUACCCUACCUGGCCUGAUGGCCUAGGCGAUCGCCUUUGAUAACAUCGCCCAUACAUCAGCCACCCAAGCAUCCUUUCUCAAAGUUAUGAAAUACAAAAUAGGGAAGAGACACUCUUAGAGUAGAAUCACUACACCAUCUAGCUUUCUAGAUUUUCAACCAUCUUCCAUUGCCCACCUGAAUGAGGUUCAGCUAUUAAAAUUCCCCAACCUCUCCUUAUGGCUUUCCACAACCCAAUGUCAAAACCACACCUACUAUUUGGGAACCCUCCUCCCCAUACUUCUCAACAAUAACCCGCUUCCAAAGGGACCCAUUCUCUGAGGCAAACCUCUAGAUGCACUUGCCUAGCAACGCCUUGUUGGUUUGUUGGUAGCUUUCUAAUACCAAGACCUCUAUUACAUUCCUCUCUCAAAGUGAUCUCCUAUCUCACCAAGUGCGGUUUUUUCUAUAAUGAACCUACCCCACAAAAAGUACCUUGAGAUCUUCUCAAUCCUUGAACUAACCUUCUUGGGCAAGACAAUAGAGACAUAGUAAAUGGGCAAGUUUGACAAAGUGCUCUUGAUGAGAGUAAGUCUCCCUAAUGUAGGACAACCUAGGAUAGUUGCCUACAAUCAAAUAGGUGGGCUAGGGUUUUUAUUUUUAGGGUGUAAGGAGAGAAACAAUGAAUAAAGUUUAUGGUAGAGAAAAAUAAAAUAAAAGAAAUGGAAAGAAAGAAGAUACGACAAAAAAGAGGUAAGAGUCUCAUUAAGGCCUUGUAGGAGUCUCACCUAGAAGAAAAUCAAUGAAUCACUAUUGAGGAUUGCAACCGUUGCAAUAAAAAAAAUAUUAUUAACAUCAGUCAAUUCAUUACCUUGAUUUAUAUUGAUUACCCUUAUUUAUAGGCUUCUCUAAGUAGUAGCCCCUACUCAGAAUGCUUUUGUGAUGGGACGGCAAAUCCUUGAUGCUUCUCUUAUUGCAAAUGAGGUGAUAGACUCAUGGCAGAAAAGAAAAGAGAAAGGGCUCAUUUGCAAGUUGGAUAUUGAGAAAGCGUAUGACAGCAUUACUUGGAAGUUCUUGCUGAAGACUCUUCACAAAAUGGGUUUUGGUCCAAGGUGGGUGGGGUGGAUGAGGAGUUGUAUCUCUACAGCCAAGUUCUCAGUUCUUAUUAAUGGGGUUCCAGCUGGUUUCUUCCCGAGUUCUAAAGGGCUUCGUCAAGGAGAUCCAUUGUCUCCCUAUCUCUUCGUCUUGGGAAUGGAAGUGCUAGAUGCCUUGAUUAGGAGGGCGGUUGCGGGGGGAUACCUUUCAGGGUGCAGCAUUAAGGGUGAUAGGAGGCACACUCUAAAAAUCUCCCAUCUUUUCUUUGCUGAUGAUACAAUUGUGUUCUGUGAGGCUAACAAAGAGCAUCUAACAUACUUGAGUUGGAUUCUCUUGUGGUUUGAAGCAGCCUCAGGCCUAAGGAUCAAUUUGGACUAAAGUGAAAUCAUCCCAGUUGGUGAAGUGGAGGGGAUUGAGGCGAUGGCAGUGGAAUUAGGAUGUAGGGUGGGAUCUCUUCCGUCUCAUUACUUGGGAUUGCCAUUAGGGGCUCCGCAUAAAGCCUCCUCAGUUUGGGAUGGGGUGGAGGAGAAAGUGAGAAGGAGACUAGCACGGUGGAAACGUCAAUAUAUUUCAAAAGGGGGGAGAAUCACUCUUAUUAGAAGCGUUUUGGCUAGCAUACCAAUCUAUCACAUGUCUCUGUUCAGAAUGCCUAAGGCAGUGGCCAGGAGAUUAGAUAAAGUCCAAAGAGAUUUCCUAUGGGGAGGGGGAAGUGAGGUAAAGAAAGCUCAUCUAAUCAAGUGGGAGGCGAUUUGUGAGGCUAAAAGCAAUGGAGGGUUAGGCUUAAGGAAGUUGGUGCUCCUGAACAAAGCUCUACUUGGCAAAUGGGUAUGGAGACUUGCUAUUGAUAGAGAUGAUCUAUGGAAGCAAGUGAUAAUAGAGAAAUAUGGGCAAGAGGGACAUGGAUGGAGAGCAAAGAAGGCUAUUGGGACUAUCGGCGUGGGGGUUUGGAAGGAAAUAUGGAAGGAAUCUGAUUGGUGUUGGGAUAACAUGGGGUUCAUAGUUGGGAAAGGAAACAAAAUCAAUUUUUGGACUGAUGCUUGGUGUGAAGAUACAAGGCUGUCCCAAAGAUUCCCCCACCUAUAUGCUAUGGCUGCGCAUAGGGAUGCGACUGUGGAGGAGAUGUGGGAUCAGAAUUUCGGCCAAGGGGGGUGGAAUCUAAGAUUUUUGAGGGACUUUAAUGAUUGGGAGCUGGAGAUGAUAGGGAACUUAUUGCAUGUUCUGAGGAGUUACAAGCCUUCUAUGGAGGAAGAUUCAGUCCGUUGGAAGGGAGGAAGGAAUGGUAAAUUUAGGGUGAAAGAAGCCUAUAGAGUGGUGACCAGACCAAAUGAUAUUGGGUUUCCUUCUAGAAGUAUUUGGGUGGAUUCAGUUCCAACCAAGGUUGCAUUCUACGCUUGGGAGGCUACUUGGGGGAGGGUGCUCACUCUUGAUAGACUUCAGAAAAGAGGAUGGCAGUUUCCUAAUUGUUGUUUUCUAUGUGGGUGUGAAGAAGAAACUGUAAAUCACAUUCUUAUUCAUUGUAUAGUUGUCAGAGUUUUGUGGGAUAUUGUUCUUGGGUUAUCAGGUGUGCAGUGGGUUUUUCCAGAAACUGUAAAGGGGGUGUUAACUAGCUGGAGGGGCCCUUUUGUGGGAAAGAAAAGGAAAAAGAUAUGGAAAUCCAUCCCGUUGUGUAUUUUUUGGACGGUUUGGAAAGAAAGAAAUAGGUUAGCUUUUAGGGGAGGAGAGUUAAAUAUCCAAAAGCUUAAGAAUUCUUUUGUGUGUAGUUUGUGGAGUUGGGCUAGAUUGUAUAUUGGCAAGGAGCGUAUGUCCCUUAUAGGGUUCCUAGAAUGGUUGGCGUCCAACUAAGGGAUGGUGAGGCUUGUUGUUUUUUUGGCCUUUUGAGGGGUUUGUUGCUUUGUAUACCCCCUGUAUACUUGUAACUUUUUGCCCCUUUAUCAAUAUAUCUUGUUUUACUUAUCAAAAAAAAAAAAAAAAAGAAAUCCAAAGUCUAUUAGAAUUCUAAUAACCUAUUAUGAAUGUAAUUCUAAUUAUCUUAUAAUCUAAUUAACUAAUCCUAAUUUGACUUUAACAAAUACUAAUCCUAAUUUAAUUCCAAUUAAUACUAAUUCUAAUUUAAUUCCAACUAAUAUUAAUCCUACUUAAAGUUUAUUCACGUCUUUCCUUUCCUUCUUGAAUGGACUUUAAAAGGCUUCUCCUUGCCCCCUUUAGAAAGAUGUUGCCUUUUCCACAUAGCUAGCCUCUUGUGAAUUCUCUUCUACUAUACAUGCCAACCCUCCCUCAAUUUAUAGUAGUCUCCUAGAGGCAGACCUAAAUACACAACAAGGAGUUCCCCCUUCCCACACCCCAUCUUGACCACCAAUUCCUCCGCAUUAGGAACCUUGCCCACUAGAAUCAACUUACUUUUCUCCAAAUUGAUCUUCAGACUAAUGAUGACUUCCAACCACAUGAAGAUUCAACUUUCAACUUAGAUAAAGUACUUGCUCUUGACUAACUUUAUAGAAGAUAAGAGUGUCAUCAAAGAAUAAAUGAUAAGACACCCCCACUCCUUCACCUCCCCCUCCACUUACCUUAACAGCCAAAAUAUAUCCUCCUUCCCCUUGCUUUCUUUUGAGUGCUUCUAUAGUUAAAACAAACAAGGGGAAAGGGACUCCCCUCACUUUAAUCCCCUAAUGCUUUGAAAGAAGCCAACUAGGGUGUUGCAAAGGUGGGAAUAUUAAGAUAGAGGAAUGUGUUGGAAAGAUUUCCAUUAUGAUGCAACCAAGUUGCUAUUCAAGUGUUAUAAAUCUUGUCAAAAGUAGUAUAUACUAUGAAUGCAACAUUCUGAUUAAUGGACAUUAUGCACAAGUAAGAAACACAUGUGUGGAUAUCUAAUUAUAAGUGUAGAAACAAACCAGAAAAAAAAAAAAAAAAAAAAUUGCAUGAGAAAAAUUCCAAACCUAACAACUGAGGUCUUGAAAAUUAUGCAGGCUGUAUGAUAAGCAUGAUUUGGGGUCAUUUACUAAACGUUAUGUUAACAUGUUUCUUUGAGAGCUAGCAUUUUUGUUCUCCUGCAAAUCAAACUUUAAGCAGCGGAUAUUCCAGCCCCAAUCCCUUGCCAAUUGUGACACAUCUCAAGAGCAACAACAAAUUUUUUCUAGCAUGAAGAACUUGUCACACUCUAAAAAGGAAUACAAGAAGAGCGGGAAAAGGUGCACAUACAUGGGCAGUAAUUACAGAAUCGUCUCCAUCCUGGUCAUUUCCAACGAUCACACCUUUCCUCCUAUUAUAGAUGCAGACAUUUUUUUUUUUUCAUUUCCAGGAGUUAGUAUGAAAGCGUUGAUGACAUUUGGUAGAGAGUAAAUAGAAGCACUCACUUAUUGAUGUCACCAGUAACAGUGCCCUGAAAUUCUGUUGGCGCUUUCAAUUCCACAAGCAUUACAGGUUCCAAUAUCACAGGUUUGGCUGCUGUAUAGCACUGUUCCAUAAAGCAGCAAUGUGAAAAUCUUGCAGUAAAAUGAGGGGGUAAAGCACAGCUUUGAGAAAAAAAAAAAGAAGAGGGGUUAAAAGCCUAAAAGAAAUUUGUGCAAUCUAUUUUACCAACAAAUUCACGUAGGCAUCAGGCCAAGAGAAAAACCUGUCUAAAAGCAUAAAUUGCAGCUAACUUAAAUGCAAGUUCACUAGAAUCCACAGCAUGGGCAGCACCGUCUGUUAAAACGAUACGAAUAUUUUCAACUGGAUGCCCUAUCAGUGAACCCCUGUACAAGUACGAGAAAUCAGAUCAAUACUAAUAACAAUAGUUCACACUUCUUUGAUAGUUACCAAAAGUUCAUGCAUAGAAUCAGAAAAAAUAUCAAUCCAUUUAUAAUAAAAAAGAUCAGAUGAAAAAAAAAAAGAAAAAGAAAUGGUAAACCACUCACGAAUUGGCUGCUUCUUUAAAACCCUUCUCAAUGGCUGGGAUAAAAUUGGAUGGUACAGCUUGUCCUACAAUCAUGUUCUCAAAUUCAAACUUAGUGGUGGAUCCUUCUGGGAGUGGUUCUACAUACCUGCCAAUAAAAAGAAAUGCUAGUGAAACUUCCAAAAGAAUAGAUACUCUCAUUCAUGAAUAGGAACCCUUAUACAUUCAGUAAUAGUACAUAUGAUAUAUGUAUCAUACUAGUUGUCAAAACUCAGAAGCAACUUUGCAGUUUGCUUAGGCACUAGAUUGGUGCCUAGGUCUUGGCCUGAUGAGCAUGCUACAUGUAACAAGUCACUAGUAGUAGGCAUGUUCUUUCUUCCCCCCCUCCCCCAAUAUAUCAUAGUUAAUCAGUAAGGAUUGAUACAUAUGCUAGAAAUACUUUAGACGUAAACCUUGCUAAUAUAAGGUAGCUAAACAAGAAAAAAUAGAACAAGAAGGAAAAUUUUAUUUCAGGUAAUCUAAGGAGGGAAAAAUCAAGAAAGGGUAUCACUGACUAACAACUUCGGACAUCAUAACAAUUAUUGCACUGUAUUUUAUAAACUGUUAUUUUUAUUUAUUAUAUUUCCAGCUUCUGAACACUCCAAAAGGUUGUUUUCUAUUUUCCAUGCCCAUUACUACAUUUGAAAGAAAUUUGUUCAACAACAUACUCACAAUAAUAUUGCCUUCCAUUUUUUAAAACGAAAAAAGUUAGUUAAAAAUUGUAUUUUGAACCCAAAACAAAUGGGUUCUUCGCAUUUUGAGCAACUCCACGCCAGUCACAGGCAUAAUGUAUUGUUUAUCAGAAACCAAUCGUAUGACAAAGAUCCAUACAUACAUUCAUAUAUAUAUAUAUAUAUAUAUAUAUAUUUGAUAGAUUACAAAGAUAUAUAUUUUUGAGACAUUAUAUCUGAUGCGAAAACCUAGAAAAUGUGAUGCCCAUGUUGGAGAAGAUAGCAGAAAUCAUGAACAAUCACCCCUGAUAUUUUCCUGCUUGGUCAUACAACAGAAGUGAAGAUACACAUAACCCACCAAACAGUCACAGCUACUAUUGACUCAGAGCAUUUAGAAUUCCCAUUAAGGGUUUGUUUUAUGCAUUUUGAUUUCAAGGGAAGUGCUUUUCUCAAAAGAAAGAUGUAGAAAGAGGUUAUUUCAAAGAUGUUUUGAUAAUGUUUGGGUGUUACAUUUUCAGAAGGGCUCCAGAGAAGGUAAGACAUGGAAUGUACAUAUUUAUCCUUUUAAAGAUAUCACAAAGCCAUGUGUUUGAAACCCAAAAGACUACUUAGGGUUCAUAUGUAUUUCAAGCAUGUUAUUCUCAUGAGUCUGAGCUGACAAUGCUUCAAUGAGAAGAGCUUUUGACCCUCAAACUUAACAAAAAGUACUUCUAGGAUCUAUAAAGACAAUGUCCAAGUUCUUUGACAGCCAGGAAGUGCUCCCUGCCCUCUAAGAAGCUUCUUCAAGCAGCUGUACAACGUUAUUAACAAACUUCAGCUGAGAUUUCUAAAAAGACUAUAAUUAUGAUUUAUUAGUAGCUUAACCAAGAAACUCAGUUUCAAAGGGAGAGAAUAAACUUUUGCAGGUUGUAGAAUUUCCAAGUAACCAAAUAAAAUAUACAAACAAACAACUUGCCCAAUAAAAAUGAAAAAUAAAUGUUGUUUCAAACAAAUGGCACGAAGAAAAAAAAAUAAAUUUGGCAAUCCAUCUGCAGUUGAUACUUAUAUUAAAUAAUAAGAAUAUACACAAAAAGAAUAAGCCAAUAAUAGAUCUAUGCUUACCCACAGACCCUUCCAUAUUGACCUUGUCCUCCAGUUUGCUUCUUAUGUAAGUAAUCAAAUUCAGCACGUUUCGUAACAGUCUCUCUGAAGUUAACACGAGGUCUUCCAACAGUUGCAUCAACCUUCAUAAAGGUAAAUUAAAGAGGGAAAGAGAGAGUACUUAAGUAUACAGGUGAAGAUUUUGAAUUAGCAAUCAUACUAGAAUCGAAUUAGCAAUCAUACUAGAAUCCCAUCACUGUAUUAAAGAAAGACAAAAAGACCAGGCACCUUAUACUCCCUCCGAAUGCGUUCAACGUAAAUGUCCAAAUGCAGCUCUCCCAUUCCAGAAAUAAUUGUCUGCACAAGAAAGCAUUUUGAUGUCAUGGUUAGGCAUGAUAAAACUUCUUCCUCUAAGGAAUGUGUGAAAUGCAUGUCAUAAAUUAAACCUGCCCACUCUCAGCGUCCAACCCAACACGGAAAGUAGGAUCCUCUCUCUGAAAGCGAUUCAAAGCCUUUGAAAACUGUACAAGGAUAAAAAAUUACCAUCAUUUGGUACCAUCAGUUACAAAGUAAAUUGAUAUCUCAAUUGGCCGUACUCACUUGUCCUCCAGAAUCCUUAGAAACGGGUGAAAUAGCUAAUGACAUGACCGGUUCUGGAACAUUCAUAGAGGUCAUGGUGUAUCUCACUGACCCAUCAGUAAAAGUAUCACCUGAUGACAAAAAGAAGUUUAGAUAUCAUGAAAUAUAUAUAUAUAUAUAUGAAACAAAUGAAGCAAAGAGCAAUAUAAGCAAAAUUGGAAUGAAGCAUCAUAAAACAAGUUGUAACAGCCUCAUUGCAACUAUUUUGGGUUACCAAAAUGAAUCCUCCUCCAAACUCCAGUAUUUUGAAGACAAUAUGCAGUAGAGAAUAGAAUUUUAAAUAUUUUUCCAUCGACAUUAUCAAAUGUCCAUCUCAUCAUUUCCUUCUCUCUCCUAGACUUGAACUUUUUCUUAUGAGAUACAAGAAAAUUCAUUGCAUUGAGAUCGGUAAGUAUGAUGAAAGAUGAGGAAUCCUUCCAAGAUUACAAAAAAACAGAUCAACAAGGAAAACAACAUUGCAGUGAUUCCGCCCUGGUCCAGUCAAAUUUUUUAAGACUACGGAAAACAACAUAGAAACAAAUUCUCAUGUUUGAUUGCAUGUAUGCAGUGGGUAAGUCAAACCUGAAGCACAAUCAACACCGAAGACAGCAACUAUUUGCCCAGCAUGGGCCUCUUGAAUGUCCUGUAGAAUUUAAAAAUCAAAUCAAACCAAAUAAUAACCCAGGGAAAAGGAAAAUGAGCUCACUGGAGUUCAACAAAUCAAGUUUUAGGAGAAACAAUAAAUUUCAGAUCUAUGAUCUAGUAUCAAACUGAAAAAUCUUAUAAGAUCUUUGACUCCCAAAGGAUUUGUUUGGCCUACCCUCUCAAGGAGAAAAAACUAAUAAUUGCAUUUGCAUAUGCUAGUGAGGUGAAUGUGUCAAGCAAAAACUAACCUCCAUCUCAUUAGAAUGCAUCCGAACCAAGCGAGGAACCUGUAGAAUAAAAUGACAAGGCUUCAGCAAUAUAUUUAACAAAAUCAGAAAAUAUCAUACUUAAAAUGGCAGUGGUCCACAUCAUGCAGAAGGAAAUCAUCGAACAUGUUUUUAUUGGAACACAAAAUCUGAAGCUUUCAACCACAUCAAUAAAUUGAUCACACUUAUUAAAAGUACACAUGAGUCACCUUGCAAGAUAUAUCUGAUGCUACUGUAAGACAAACAAACACCAACCCAUUAUAGGCACUUUUUGCCUUUCAAGUGUUGCAAAAAAAUUUUCACCACAAUGAACAACAGAACUUCAAUGGAAAUCAUUUAUUAAGGAAUGGAAAAAUUGAUUUAAGUGGAAAACUUUCCUCUCUCACAUCAUGAAAUUGGCUAAAGUAAAACGAGGAUAAAAUCAUAGCACAUCAAAAAAAAAAUAAAAAAACGAAGGAAAAAAAAUCAAUGUCUGGUUCACACAAAGCAGAAAUUUUGAACUUCAAUAAGAACCAUAAAAUCAAAACCAUACAUGACUUGGACUUCAACUCACCUUUAUCUUUUUGCCUGUGUUUACAUUGAUUAUAAAAUCACCCUUCCGAAUGACACCCUCGUAGAUUCUUCAUUAACAAAAAUAAAAGUUAGGACGAGUUCAGUAAUAUAUGGUUUAGAUCAACAUAUAACACUCCAUUAAUGCAUAAAUAAGAGCCUUGUACACACAUUAAAAUAAAAAUAAAACCAAACAAAAUUGAAAUUGUACCUUAGGUAUGUCAAUUGACCAAAGCGCCCUUCUUCCAAUUUAAAAGCCAAUGCGACAAGAGGUCCAACCGGAGUUCCAGAUAUAGUCACCUAAUAGGAAACCAAUCCAAGGAGAAAAGAUAUUUUAGUACCUUCAUCAGAUUGCUCUGCAAAACUAGAACAGAAGAUUCAAGAAAGAACAGUCAUCAACAGGACACCUUCUCUUCAUUCUUGUUUUGGUCAAGAGCAUAGUUGCUAACUUCAGUAGGACAAGGCAAAUAACUAAGCACACCAUCAAGAAGGGGUUGCACUCCCUGUAUUCCAAAACAGCAGAAGAUGAAGAAUACAGCUUAACAAAUAUUCAAGUCCCACAUACAAGCAGCACAAAUAGUACAUGUUGUUUCUAUUAUAAUUAACAUCAAAAAGGAAAGUGUCCAAGGAGAGGAGAAGUAUCCUGACUAUUAUAUAUAAUAUCAAGCAGCAGAACAAGGGAGCAAAGCAACUCACAUUCACUAUGACUUCACAUUAGUGUCAUUAAUAAGGUCAUUGAAAUAGUUCCUACCACAACCAAGCCACACCCAAAACCACUUACUACAAAAAGAAUCUUGAAGACACGGAAAAGUCCAAAUUUAGAUAUGGGUCAAUGCACAACUUGUGUCUGUGCAUGAACGGGGAGAGAGAGAGAGAGAGAUGCAAAAGUUAGUGAUUUAGACACCCUUGUGUCAGAGUCUUUUCCCCCUGCUCUCUCUUUCCCUUCUCACCAAACAAAAAAAAAAAGGAAGAUAGAUAUUGAACUAGUGCACAGUUUGAGAGAAGAGAGAUGAUGAAAUGAAAGGGGAAGGAACACCAUCGAUGAUUAGGGAAAAAAUCAACAAAAUGGGAGGAAGUGUCUGGGUCCUUUUCCUCUGGAGGACUUUAACAACUCCAUUCAUGACAAGAAUGCCCAACUUCUUAAAUUGUAUGCUCCAUUCUUAAGUAAACCGAAGCUAUAAGAUGAUUAAAUUAUUAAAACAAGUUAUAUGAUAAUUUUAAAUAUCAGUUAGGAGCUUACCUCAGCAUCUCUAACCUCAAGCACGGUUCUAGUUCAACUCACCCAAAUGCCUUUUGCAACAGUAAAUAUUUUUCAUUUUUUUUUAUAGACAAACACUCGCAACACUCAUUGUAUUGACCACUUACUAUGAAUACAAUUUUGCUCUCAGCUUAAUUUUUUUUUUUUUUUUUUUUUAACAAGUAAAAGCAAUUAUAUUGAGUGUGCCUAAGGAAGAGCACCGAAAAGUAUACUUUGCUCUCAGCUUAAAGAUGCUAUGUCAUGCAUUCUUGAUGGGGAACAAUGUGGCCAACACACUUUGAGAAUUUACAAGUGAAGAGAAAGGCUAGCUCCAGUGCCCAAGCCUUAAUUUGGAACACCAAUGAUAAUUUAACUUCCUAUUGGGAUUAUUAGUUUAUUUUAAGUUCAGUCUUUUGUCAGGUUUCUGUUUUAGUUAGUAAUUUACAAUUUGUCAAGUUUCUAUUCCUUUUAGUCUUCUUGUUGUGUUAAGAAAGUUUCUAUUUCUUUUAGUUUCUAAACAAUAGUUCUUUCCUAUAUCUAUUCCUAUUUGUAUAAGGAAAACUAAGGACUAAGGAAAGUUCUUCUAUAAGAGAAAAGAAUAAUCAGAAUCUAUAUAUCUAUGUAGCUUUUCAAACUGGAAGAUCCAGAAAUUAAUAAAAGUUUUCAACAUCUACUAUGCUUCCCUUUGAAGGUGAGAUUGUCCUGUCACAUGUGUAAUUGCUUAGAAAACCAUUGUUCUCAAAAAAACGCUGGAUCUUGUGUCCUGAAACCUUGGUGUGACUUCCAAGGAUUUCUUCUUUCUUUUAUUUUAUCUUCUUUGAUCUUUCAUUUGAUUCUAUAAAUUAAGGAACUUCCAUGUGCAGGAAGUAAAAAAAUCCUGCAUCAUUUCCAUAGGAUGAUCUACAUCCUUUCAAGAAAUCAUUUCCCUUGCAAUCUCAAAGACUUGAUUAUAUAAGGUCUGAGAAAAGCAUCUUUAAAGGAAUGGGAGAAUGCCCAAAAGAUUAAAUGCAUACUCAACAAAAAUUUGGUUCCUUCUAUUGACAUAUGAAAAUUUAAUUUGCCUGGAUUUUGCUAUAAAGAGCUGAAUAUCAUUCAAAGGAAGAAAUUAACAACCUCAUAAUACCUUGUUUUUGAAUGCACUGCCCAUGAAGACCGGUAUAAAUUUCUGUGCAACUGUAGCCCUGCGGAUUGCCUCCUACUCAAGAGAAAAUAAACUCUGAACUUCAAAACUACAAGAAUAAAAUAUAACUAAAAAUUAAAUUUUUUUUUGACAUUCAACAAAAGGAUUAACAGUAUUUAGGAUUGCUACAUUAGCUCCCAGAAUGAUGUUAAAAUUGGGCUACUGAUAUUUAACCGACAUACAUUCAUAAGGAACAAGUCAAAUGAAAGUGGUAAAUUUCAUCUGGGGUCACGUUUUUAAAGAUUUGAUAUAAAAUGGAUUUUUUUUUUUUUUGAUGGGCAAAUGAAGUGAGAAUAUAUUAGACGCGCCAAAAGAAUUGAUACAAAAUAGAUUAUGAGUUUCCUCCAGCAAUCCCUGCAGCAAAGAGAGUGGGGCACAAAGAGGAGGAUGGCUAAAAUUCAAUAGGUGGAUCCAUCUAAAGCAGCAGCUAUUGAUCAUAGCUGCCUGACAGAUUGCCUUGUCUUUUCUUCAUGACUAAGUAUAGGAAAAGGAUAAACUAUGCCAAGAUAUGAGGGUAAUAGUCUAAGAGGCGACCAGAUAUUUCUUCUUUGAGAGCAUUGGAGCUUGUAUACUGAGGAAAUGCAUGAAGAAUACAUGUUUUGCACCCUUUUCUAUGGAUUAUUUCCUCUUAACAUACCUCAAGACUAGCAGAUGAUAUAGGUUCAUCUGUUAGAAAUGCUUCGGCUAGUUUAUCAUCAACCUCGGAAACCAUUUCUAUGAGUUCACGCCGCUUUUCUGCAACUAAUGCCUCCAUAUUGGCAGGUAUUUCUUCGGCCACAACUUUUUCACUGCAAAAGGCAACAAGAUAAUAAGAAGAGAAAAUUUAUUAACAUUAUAAAAUAAUCCACACGAAAAGGAAUUAAGUAGCUAAUCAACCCCAUAGCUUAUGGAGCAUACCCAUUGGAACCAUGAAAAUAGUAAGCUUUUAACUGCACAAGAUCAACAAGACCCUGAAAAUCAUCUUCCAACCCAAUUGGAACUUGCACAGCAGCACUGUGAUGCCGGAGCUUUGACCUUGCCUACAAAACAAGCCAAUAGAAUCAGCUGCUUAUCAUUGAGCAUCCAAGCUCAAUCCAACGACUUGCGACUAGUUUGACAAAUUCCCACAAUAGAACAUAAAAACGUUCAGGUUCUUCAUAAAUUCUUAUCCAAAACCUGUAUCAUCAACAAAGGAAAAAAAAAAUCUAUAUAAAUAUAGAUGUAUUAGGUGUUGUGAGAAGUAAAGACCAGUGCAUAAAGGCCCUCAGGUAUCUCAAGAAGACAGAUAUGCUCAGUCUCUGUCCAGUAUAAUUUCCACAUUUGCACCAUUGCAAUUCCCAUGCAGUAUUCUUGUUCUAACAACUAAAACUGUCAUUAAGGGAUUAGUUUUGUUCUUGUUUCUUGCAGAGCUUCAACCCUAAAUUUAAGAGUAUCCAACCAAUAUCCUGGUUGUACUUGGAACCCCAUUUGCACCAAAAAGAAAUUGUACAGUAGAUUUCCUUUCAAUCUUUAAUGAAACUUACUAUGCAAUAGUAAACUAAUCAAAUUAAGAGAGGAAAUUUCAAACAUUUUCACAGGCUACCAUAAAUAUAAAUUGUACCUGGCUGAGAACUUUCCAUGGAUCUGCUCCCAUUCGAUCAAGUUUGUUAAUGAAUGCAACUCUUGGGACAUCAUAUCUUCUCAUUUGCCUAUCAACAGUUAUUGACUGACUCUGCACACCACCAACACUACAAAGGACAAGAAUGGCACCAUCAAGGACACGCAAAGCCCUCUCAACUUCAAUGGUGAAGUCGACAUGACCAGGAGUGUCAAUUAUGUUAACCUGCAAAAAACAAUUUCUGGAUGAUUUUUCUUCUUUUUUUUUUUUUUCUUUUGAAUGGGCAACCAAAAGAAUAUAUAAACAUCUAGCAAAAAGGGUGCAACAAGGUACACAAAUUUCUGGAUGGAUAAAAACCUAAAGAAAUAGAUCAUAAAAAGGUGGCAACGGUAUUUUGCAGACCAAGUAAAUUGAUGAUAAGCUGUGACCUGAGAACCUUAAUUGUUCAACUCAGCCAAAUAAAGCAUUUGGCUUAGUUGAUGCAAUCUUUUCAAUUUCUGGAAACCAAAACAAAAAUAAAAUAUAUAUUGUAAUUUCUUUUAUUUUUCUCUUUUCUGGAAACCAAAUGAAUGGUAUCGCAAUUUUGAUUUAAUUAUUUCCCCCAUUCUACAGCAGCCAAAUGGACCUGAUACUUGAUAAACAUUCUAAACAGUAAAUUUUAAUCACAUGACUUUCAACGUAUGGGACACAAGGAAGAAACACUGCUGCAGAACUGACCCUGAUACAAGAAUAUUUGUCCCAUUUGAGACAAACUUUCGUUUUUGGAAAACCCCAAACAACACAAACAGAAGAUCAAGUAUUCUGUUUUCUUCACUUAUCCACAGCUUUCUCAUCAACACAACAGAGGAUCAAGAUUCAAGGUUUUUAAAUUCUUUCUUGUCCUACAUUUUCACAAUUAAAUGGUAACAAAGUAAAAGAAAACUGUCACCUGAUAAGUAUUCUAAAGUACAGUAAGUAGCAGCUGAUUGAAUACUAAUCCAUUUUUCCCUUUCUAUACUAAAGCUAAGAUUCCAAAAUUUGGUUUCUUCACUUACCCUACAAUUUCUUACAAAGGAAACAGCACACAAUGAAACCUUAGCAAAAGAAAAUCAAUUAUGUAUCCGAUAAUCAAUCCAAGUGUGGAAAAUAGCAUCAGACCCAAUUGGUUUUUUAAAUAGAUAUUCAAAAAACUUCUCCUAGAUUUAACAAACAGACAAAAGAAACCAUUGGAUAACCACUACGAGAACAUCGACUGGCUUCUCUCUAAUUCCACAAUUUAAAAUUUCUUACAAUUUCCCACACUUGGGCAGCAACCAAAGAGACGCAAUUAAUCGCACCGAUACUCAUAGCAAGUGCAGUUUAGUACAAACUAAGUCAAAAUUCAACAAUUUCUUUUCUUUCCUUUUUCCUACAUUUUGUCAUCAACCAUAGAAACGGAACCAACUGAAUCCACACACACCUGAUAAUCUUUCCAAGUACAGUAGGUAGCAGCAGACUGAAUCGUGAUCCCCUUCUCUCUUUCUAAAUCCAUGGAAUCCAUCUUCGCACCUACUCCAUCGCGGCCUCUAACCUCAUGAAUCUCAUGGAUCCUUCCCGUAUAAUACAGAAUCCUCUCCGUCAGCGUCGUCUUCCCCGAAUCGAUGUGGGCAGAGAUUCCGAUGUUCCGAAGCCUCUCCAUUGACUCCUUCCACCAUGUUGCCUCCACUCUCGCUGGGUUGCCGGCUGAGAAAGUCCGCCGGUGACCAGUCAGAAGAGGCGACGACGUCGUUUUGAGGGCGGAGGAGAGGGUGUAUAGCAGGCGAAUUGCCGGAGACCGUGCGGAGGGAGCCAUGGGCGUUAGGGUUCUGGGCGGGGUUGAUCGCCGUGCUGGUUAAACCCCUAGGGUUUUCAACUGCUGCUACACUACUAAACCCAAAACCCUCUGGACCCACGAGAUAGCGAAAAUUUUGGUACAAAAUUAAAAAUAAAAAAUAAAAAGAAAUUUCCAAAUGAAUUUUUUUUUUAAUUUUUUUAUAUUUUUAAAAACAUAUUCUCUACUUCUCUAUUUUUAAAAAUAAAAUAAAAUUCUCUAAAAAUUAUUUUUUAUUUCAUUUUAUUUUUAAAAAGACAAUGAUUAAACAAAAAAAUUUAAAAAUAAUUUUCUAUUUUUAAAAAUAAAAUACAUUUUUUUAAUUAAACCCGAUAUUUUUAUAAGGCCAAAUAUAAUAUUUUAACAUAUUUUAUAAAAUAACAUUUUAAUAAAGAUUACAAAUGUUUUAAAAUAUUAAAUAUUGAAUGAAAAAUUUAAAAAUACAAUCUUAAGAAAAACUUUAAAGUUUUGGAGCUACACUUAACAAGUUAUUUCAAAAUUUUAUUUUAAAACUCAAAUAUAAAAAAAAAUCAUAAUUAUGGCUCAAAAUUCAAAAUAUCCUCCAUAUUUUUUUAUUAUUACUCAAAACAUUAUUGAAAAAUAAAAAUAAAAUACUUCAUAUUUAUUUUUAAAAAUAUGUUUUCAAAAUAAACUCUUUACAAAAAUUCCUUUUUGUGCGCAAGGUUUGCCAACUGACUUUCCAUGUUAAAAAACGAUUUUCAGUUGACUGUUUCAAGAACAGUUUCCAAACAGGUACUGAAUAAUUUUGACCAAUUCAAACAAUACACAAUCUGGAUCCCCUUAAUCCCCUCAGAAAUUACUCGGAACUCAGUUGAUCAUGAUAAUGCAAAGAAAUUAACAGGAUAAGCAAACGAAUAAUAAUCUCAAAAGAUGAACAAAGGCAUAAGAAAUUGCACCUGCAGCCACUAAAGUUAGACUGCAAAUACAAGGAAGAGAAAUAAAAUUUCUAUCAACAACCUGCGAAUUCAGCACUUUUGAUACCAUCAAGCAUCCUGGAGUCUCACAUACUUUGUUUUGCUUCAAAUCCAAAAAACAAAAAUAUACCCCAAAAAAAAAAGGGACAAAAAUGCUGUUUUGAGUUCUGUAUACAGCAAGAGGCAAAUCCUACAAAGGCUGUAUCUCCAUGGUGGUGUGUUCGGUGCCAUUUUUAGAAGACGGUGCAGCUUCCUGGUUUCCACCUGCAUCCAUCUCUUGAACUGGAGGAGGAUUAACAAUGGUCAUGGGCAUGGCAGAAUUACUGGAUAGAUGUCCCUUCAUCUCCCUAUGCUCCUGACAUAUAGCACACCAGUGCAUGCAGCAGUGCACCAGGCAUGGGUCACACGGUGAGUUCUGCAAACAAGCAGUAGAAAUAUGGGUGAAGAACACAUGAUUUUCCAGUAUGAAUGACACUGCUAAAGGGGGAAUUCAUAAAAGACCCGCCGCAUCUUCUGAAAUGCCAAACUAUAAAAGAUCAGUAAGACAGCCAGAUACUUGUCUUUACACUGGCAGGUCUCAAUUCUCGACAGUAGUGGUGAUAAUGAGGUUUGGAAACACAUAGAGAUCAAUGGAUAUAAUAAUAAAUUUCCAAUAUUGAAAUGAAUUUGGAAAUUGCAAGUAUUGAAUCAAUUUGGGGAAAAAGAUUUGACAGAAUGAAUAGCAAAACUGAUAAUUUCAAAUGAAACUUCGAAUAUUGUUACUAGAUGGAGGAAUUCAUCAUUACAAUACAAAAUAUUAUGAAUUAAAUGCAUGCAUAGUAAGCAUAGGGCAUGUAGAGGCAAAAAGCGUAUGCUAUGAAGUAUUAAGCAUAUUCUAGAACACCCAUUUACAGGAAAAUCUAAAUCCCCUCCUCUAAGGUUAAGCCUAGCUAUAAGAUCUCCACUCUAUUUUUAAAAAAUACAUUCCCCCCACUUGAGUUUUAGCUGAAGUUGCACCUCACUCCCUCUUUCUGCCAAAACACUGAUGGAAAUUGCGAACUCAUGGUUCAUUUUUAUUGUUUACCAGAGACAUACUACCUUGAGUAAGUCAUUAUUGUGCCCAAACACAAUUAUAUACAGAAGGUUCAUAAAUAUAACUCCAUUCUAUUCCUUAAUGGAAUUCACGUUACAUUACCAACAGGGAAGUCAAUGUAUUUUUGGAAAAUGGAGGAAGGCUCUUGUAAUCAAGCUACAUGUCAGAUGAAGGGUACAAUUUCCCAUUCAUGUAAUACUAUAAAAUCCAACCUUGUAAAUAUCUAGCAGCUUUUAAUUUUAUUUAUUUAUUUGAUAGGUAAAGAUCAAAUAUAUUAACAGUGGCUAACAAAACGACACAUGAAAGUAUACACAGUGUAGACAAAAGGCCAACCAAAAUGGGGGGCGGGGAGGGGGAACAUAAGAAAAAAAAAAAACUCUUUAAACGUACUUAGAGCUCAACAAAUCAAUAAAGUCCAUUAUGGACAAUGAGCAAUCUCCUAUGAACACUAACUCCAAAAAGUUAUACAUAAAAGAAUUGUUUGAUUACUUGAUAUGCUUUUUUGUAUUAUCAAACACUGUCCUAUUUCUUUUCUUAGCAACUUUUACAUUUGUAAGUGCAAUAGAACAUGAAAAACAGCAGAUUGAGUUCCUAGGGGUUUAUAUAUAACCCAAGGUGAAGUACUACAAAGAGUUCACAACUGAGGAGAUCUUGAGACAGAUCUCGACCAAAAGAGACAUCAACCGAGAUUUUGACCUUGUUGACAAAACAUAAAACUAAUACAAUCCCCUCAAAUAGGAGAUACAAACAAGGAAAUGACAAUUAUCUUCACUUCUCUUUGGAAAAAUCCAAUGCCUGGUUAUCAAAUGGUGAAACAUUGGAUUAUCCAUUAAUUCAUUUUAUUUUAGCAUAACAGCACAAGCUUUGUUCAAAAGAAUUCCAAUGUCAAACCAGGCAGUGCACUUCAAAGGCUGAGAAAAUUUAAUCCUCUCAACAUUCAAGUCAUACAUAAUAAUUCUGAUAAAAUAUCUGUUGCAUUACCAGAAAUUUCCAAGGUAAGACGAAAAUGAAUACAACUCUAUAACCACAGAAAAAUUAAAAUAAAAAAAUUCAUUUAGUACAAAAAAAAUACACGUCUAAAGUGAAAAGAAUCCUGGUAUGAAGUGGAAAGUAGGAGUGUUGCAUAAAAUUAGUAUAUAUUUAUGUGUUUUGCAUGUCAUUUCACAAUCAAAGGCAUAUUCUUGGGCGAACUCUCCUUGUGAAAGCAUUCAGCUUUGAGAUCCUAAUAGAAAUAAAAAUGGAAAUCACCUUGAGAUGAUACUGCUUCUGCAAUGAUUGCCGAAACAGGCCAGUAUAGAUACCACACAUCCACCAAGUAAAUAGCAGGCCUUCACAAAUGAGAAAUGACGUUUUGGGAUCAAUGCCAUGGAAAAGUGCUGUUGCUGCAGCAAGUGUCAUUCCACCUUCAACACAUAAGGCAUGACAAACGCAAGCAUUGGUCCAGGGGAUAUCUUCUCUCAGUUGCUCAACAUUAUGCCCAAACAACACACAGGGGCAAAACAGCCCAGUCCAGCCUGUGAGACAUGGUUAAUGGUUUCAGAAUAAUCAAGGAUCAACUAAAAAAGAUUCACAUGCACUGCAGGAAAAGAGAAGUACAAUAGAACAUACCUGCCAAAUUGUUCUUCAUAAUUAAAUUUAUUCCAUAAAUAAAACUUUUUAUAACGAUGAGACUCAAAUUGUUCAAUAACAGGAUCAUUUUUAUGUACCAGUAGUUCUCAUCAUCAUCACCAUUGCCAUCCAAGCAAUCAGAUACAUAAGAGUCUGUAUGGUGAAUUGGCCUCUUAAUUUUUCAUAUUAGAAUCUUGAAUAUGUGCCCAGAACAGAAAAGACUGGUGCAGUGCUGCAUUUACACAUGAAAAGAUUGGUGCAGGCUAGCAUUUACAUGUGAAUUUUGUCAUACCCUUCCAUUCAGGUGCCACAAUCACCUCUUCUCUCACUGCUUAACUGACAGUCCUUAUGCCGCCAUCCUUAAGUCCAUGUAAAUGUUUUCAACUUAAAACAUUAUCAUCUUUGAUGGAACUAAAAAGUGAAAUCUACUGCAAGUAAGAGCAAACAACUAAAAAAAUGACAAAGAAUUUCAAUAGCACUGUCUCUUUUGCCUUGCUGUAUUCUAAGAGGAAGAAAAUCCUUUGAGCAGUGGAAAGCGAGAGUUUCAUUCAGUAGCGCUAUCCUCACUCGAUUUUUAGUAUAUUUAUAUUCUUAAUAGUAAAUCAUAAAUACUAUACUUGCACUUUUUAAUAAACUUACAAAUUUUAGUAAAUUAGGCUUUUAUACUUACCAUGACUUUUUUAAAGAUAGAAGGAUGAAAGAUUUAUAACUUUUUUAAUAAUUUAUAUAUAUAUAUUUUAAACUUCUUAUAAUUAUUUUUAUUUUUAAUAAUAUAUAAAUUAUAUAUUUAUGAUAUCACGCUAACAUCACUCUUUGACUGAUAUUGAACCAUCAGUCCAACCUGUGACCCGAUAACUUUUAACCGGUCUAGUUCUAAAAACAUUGGUCACCUCCCACUUGCACUUCCAAUGCUUCAACCUUGUUAGCUAACCCAAUUUUGUAACCAACCUAAUAUACUUUCUAUUUCACAUAUCUAACCUAAUGAAAUUUUCAGUUGCAAAAAUAAAUACAAUUAUGUAGUAGUUAUGCUCCAUAAUGCUCAUAAAUUGAUAUAACAAUACAUAAAAUGACUUUAGAACUUGAUGAAAAAAAUAGUAGCACAUUGUAGAGGUUUGGCUUCAAACACAAUGUUGCUACAUAACCUUUCCAAAUUUCUAAUACAAGCACCAUAUGCGGCUUUGUGUCUUUAUCUAACACAAACAAUGCAGAGAAAGCAUAAGGGUAUUUACAGAAAAUGCCAGAUGAAUUGGUGAAUGUGAAAAUUUGUAUGUUCACUUGCUAAAGAUAAAGGCAGAUUGAAGUCUUACAACUCUCCCUAUCUUCGGCACAGCCACAAAUUCCAGUUGUCCAAUCUUCAUCAGCUGGGGGCUGGUAGCUUUCAGGUAGGGGUUGCCCACACUCAUUGCAUCUGUGAACAAUCAACUGUCCAGUGACAGACAUGAUCAGCAAUGCACAGAAAGAAUCCGAAACAGUGGGCAUUCCAAAGAAGCAAGGAAAUAAUGAUUGUUGAUUUGAGGUUGAAGAUGUGGAAACAUCAUUAUCAUUUACUGAGAAAACAUGGAUUGGAUUCACACUGCACAAGUUUUCAAUCUUAUUCCAAAAAUAAGGUCAUUUUUCAUUUUUAAGAAGUUUCUAAUCCCAUUCUGUCUCAUUCUCGUUUGAAUAAAAUAAUCUAUUCCCUCCUCAUUUUUUGCAUAUAUAAAAUUUGCCACUCCAAAUAAAAAGAAGCAAAUAGUAAACAGCAUAGACAUCAUGCAAAAUCACAAAACACCGUCUUGAAUGGUCCACAAUUCUAUGAAAUUAAGACAGAAAGGCAUUCAAUUUUUUCUUUCUCCUUUGGGUUGUGGUUAGUAAGCCCUUUUUCAUAGGCAGGCUUGCAAGACAAUCAAUGCUGCAUCCACCAACACUGAAGCUACAUUCAAUGAUUUCAAAUCCUAAACCAUAUCAAGCAAAAAAGAUAAAAAUUAAAAAUUAAAAAAUACUACACUGGUAUUAAAAUAUAAACAGAACAUUAAAACUAAGGCAAAUCUUCUUCUUUUUUAUUCCUAAUAAUUGACCUAAUCCCCACCUGAUAGGACAAUCCAAUUCUAGGGUCCCAACUCACCAGACCCCAAUACUUAAACACGUCAAAAAAAAUUUCUUUCCCCACAUUGCCUCAAUAACCAAACAAAGCACAGUAAUCUGGACAAUGGCAACAAAGAUCCGAAACAGAAAUUCAAGAUUCAAGCAAAUUUCCAUCAAAACUGAAAAAAGAACAUAAAUUGUAAAUUCAUGAACGCAAGAUUUUGAGAAUAUGAAGCGCAAUACAAUUCAAGAACCAUAAUGAUCUAACCUGAGGAACCUCAAUUGGUUGAUUGAGCUCUCCGGGCGUAAUAUCCUCCACUGGCGCCUGAUCCUUCUUAAGCUUCACGUACCGCGAGGACUGUGCGAUUCCCUCCGACAUCUGAUCCAACACAAAAAUCAGAGAGAAAACUCGAAAUCACCCUCUCCUUCGUUUCUCUCCCAAUAAAAACAAAAAAAAUGCGAAAACAGGAAUCAUAUGAAACCAUUUUCUAUUUGGUCACCAUCAAUAUAUACCAGAAGCAAAGAAACAAAAACGCUAAAUCCAAGACUUAUUGUUAUUAUUAUCAUUACCAUUAUUAUUCAGUACAACGCAAAACAAAACCGCCACUAGACGUAAAACAAAACCAAAACACAACGUAAAACCAAAAAGACAAAAAGGAAAAAUCCCAUGCUUUCAUUUUUAUUCGGUGAUUUUCUGGGGAACCAAACGGAAAAGAGAGACAAACCUUGAAAGAGUAGAAAGGCUUAAAAAAUUGACGAAAUCUGGGGAGAGUCUCAAAGCACGAACCCCAUCUCUCUCUCUCUCUGUAUCCACUUCAAAACGCCUUUGUUUGUGUGUGAAGUUAAGCCAACGAUUUAAGCUCCAAUGCGACGUCGUUUCAUUUUGACGUUGUUCCCCUCUCAUCUUUAUUAUUUCUACCUUUCCCCCGAGUUUUCUUUAUUUAAAAAAAAAAAAAUUGCCUUUUUUGCCAAAUAUGUUUGAUGAAGAAAAGUGAAAACUAUUUUUUUUUUUAAUUGUAAAAUUUUAUUCGUUUUUUAGUACUAAUUUAAAAAAUUAUUAAAAUUAGAUUUAUUAUUAAAAAAUGAUAUUAUUCAUAAUAUUACUAAAAUAUAAUAUUAUUAUUAUAAUUCAUAUCUACAUUAUUGUAUAAAAAUAAUAUUAUUUUAAAGUGGUUUAAACAUCUUAAUAUAUUUAUAAUUAAACGAAUAAAUUAUCCUAAUAUAAAAAUAUAUUCACCUAUAAUCAUCCAUAUAUAAUAAACAAAUAAUAUAAUGUACUUACUAAAGGAUUUUAAUUUUGAACUAUUUCAUUCCUAUUUUGAUAUUUUUAUAGGUCCUUAUUUUUCAUAUUUAUUCACAAACAUUAAAUAAUUUAAAAUCUAUAAGUUUGUAACUAAUUUAAAUUAUAUUUAAUUUUUUUUUCAUUUUUUUAUAAUAAAUCAAAUAUAAUCAAAUUUAUAUAUUUUUAAAACUUUUUAUUUCUUUAGAAUUUUCUAGAAAUUAGUCUAAGAAAUCAUUUUUUGAUUCAUGCUCUUGAUAAUUUAUUGACAAUGUUAUGGAGUUGGAUUUUCCGUAGAUUUGGUGAAUCCUUGGGCUUAAAAAAAGUCAUAAUCAUGUAUUUUAAUUAAAAUAGAUAAAAGCAUGGAUGAGGUUGGGAUGUUGGUAUUAAAAAAAAUGUCAAGAAAAAUGAAAAUUUUUAUGUUUAGUUUAUUAUAAAUGUGAAGAAAAAAUUAUUUUAAUCUUUGAGCGCGUUCGGAAGUGAUUUUAAAAAACGUUUUUAGUAUUGUUAACACUUGAAUAAUAAAAUUUUUUAAGUAUUAAAAAUAUGGAGAAUUGUAUUUUGGGCUCAACUAAGCUCAAAAAUUGACCACAGAUCCAUAUCAUGCAUAUUUAAACCUAAUACCCAAAUAAGGUGUGAAAAUUAAAUUGAAUGAUAUUAUAUUUUAUUAAUCUUUAAAAUACCUUUAACCCCUACAUAGACACAUAAUGAGUGUAAAUUUUUUUAUUUUUAUUUUUUACCAUUUUCUAUCCCCAAUUAAGUAUUAUUCAUUUCUAAUUUUUUUUUAUUAAAUAUAUUGAAUCUUUUUACUCUUAUUAUAAGUAAGGAUAAAAAUUUUUCAUAUAAAAUUUAAUGGACAAUCAAUGAAUAAAAUUUAAUUCUUUUUAUUAUUUUCAUAUAAAAAAUAGUACUAAACAAAGUUUUCAAUUUUUAUUUUUAAAAAUAGUUUUCAUUUUUUAAUUAAAUGUUUUUUCAAAAAAAAAAAAAUCAUAUUACCAUUUUUUUAGAAAGUAAUUUUUAAAAUAGUUUUUCAACGUAAUUUUUCUUUAUUUAUAAUUUAAAAUAGAAAAUAAUGUUGAUUUUCAAUUAUUUAUAAAAAAAAAGUUUUAAAAAACAAUUAAAAAUCCAAAUAGUUAAAAUAGAAUUAUGUUGCAUGAAUAGUGAUGCAAUAAAGACCAAAAAAGUUUAUGUGAAAGGUUAAUGGGUAUUUUGAUAUUUUAUAUCAUUUCCAUCAAUUAUGUAAGUUAUAUUAACCAAACCUUAAUUUUUGGGCUGAGCAUAUAAUUAUUCCUUAAAAAUAUUAAAAAUGCAUCAUAGAAUUACUGUUAAAUACACUAUUUAUUUAGAAUUAAAAAAAACACACAGAUCAAAUCAUGAAAAAAAAAAACCAUGGAUUUAAAAUUAAAAAAUAAGUUAAAAAAUACACGAUUGUCCCUUAAAAAUAUUAAAAACGCUUUAUGGAAUUACUAUCAAACACACUAUUUAUUUAGAAUAAGAAAAACACACAGAUCAAAUCAUGAAAAAAAAAAAACCAUGGAUUUAAAAUUAAAAAAUAAGUUGAAAAAUACACAAUUGUCCCUUAAAAAUAUUAAAAACGCUUCAUAAAAUUACUAUCAAACGCACUAUUUAUUUAGAAUAAGAAAAACACACAGAUCAAAUCAUGAAGAAAAAAAAAACCAUGGAUUUUAAAUUAAAAAAUACGUUGAAAAUUACACAGUUGUCCCUUAAAAAUAUUAAAAAUACUUCAUAAAAUUACUAUUAAACGCAUUAUUUAUUUAGAAUAAGAAAAACACACAGAUCAAAUCAUGAAAAAAAAACCAUGGAUUUAAAAUUAAAAAAUAAGUUGGAAAAUUCAAAUGGUUGAAAGAUUGCAUGAGGCCAAUGCCCACACGGGCCACACCCUAACCUAAUGCAAUUCAACAAACAUGAAUUGACAGGAAAGACAAAGAAAGCUGCCAUUGAAAUUUGUUAAAAAAAAAACAUUGAAGAGUGACAGAAGAGAGAUAAUGUAUGAAUAGUUAAUUUAAGGUUUCCAAAACAGUGAUGGAUCAGCAUUCACCAAAGAAGGAUAGAAUUUCACUAGUAACUCGUUCAGCUUUCUCAAUUUGGAUGUAAUGAUGGCCAUCAAUCACAACCACCUCCAUGUUAGGCACCAGUCCCUUGGAUGCUUCUCCCUUUAUAUAUUCCCGUGUCCCAAAUGCUUCAAAUCCCAGGUCCUUGUCCCCAACUAUAUAUUUCGUUGGUGUAGUAAUUUUCACUCCCUGCCACGCCCCUAGAAGCUCCCAAUUCCUAUCACAAAUCCCAAAAGUUAGGAAGCAUGGAAAAAGAGGAGAAUUUGUUUUACUUUAAGAGUGUGAUCGAAAGUGAUUCUAGAAAACGUUUUUAGUAUUACUAGUACUUGCAUUAUAAAAAUUUUCAAAUAUUAAAAAUAUUAAAACACUUUUUAAAAUCAUUAUCAAACAUAUACUAUUUUUUCUUUCAUUUUCCUAUACCAUAUAGAAUAUUAUGAAAAAAGUAUAAUACAAAUCAUGUAUUUAAUAUGAAUAUGGUAUGCACAAUCCAUAACAAAUGUAGAUAACAUGAAUUUGGUAUGUCCAAUCCACAACAAACCCAUCCCAAGGUCGAUUUAUGAAAUCCUAACCUAUGUCAAAUUUGUGGGCAAUUCAAAUUCCCAUAUGUUUUUAUGGGUUAUUAGACAAAAUAAUUAUUUUAGAAUCUAUAAAAAUGUAUCUCAAAAUUAUAAAAGAAAUUAUGAAAUAAGACAUGAAAAAUUAAAUAUCUCAAAAACAAAAUUUACUAUUAUUUUCUAAAAACAUAAAAUAAAAAGUGCAUAUGGACACUUGAGUAUUCAAGACACUUUAAUAAUUUUUUAAAAAUUAAUAAACUCAUUAAUCUAAAUGAAUUAAAAACUAAGAGAAAGUGUUUGUUUAUCUAACUCAUUAAUCUAACAUAAUUAAAAACUAAAUAAGAGUGUUUGUUUAUCUUUUCUAUUUUUUAAUAUUUUAAUGAAACAUCAUAUAAUAUAUUUACAAAUAAAUAAUAUGUGAGUUUGGAUUUCUAGAGUUUAUACAAACGUUGAUCAACUCCCAUCAACCUUAAUGUACAUCACACUCGCAUGUUCCAAGAAUCAUUAUUUGGGUGGCCUAACUCGAACCAUAAUCCUGACUUUGAUAUCAAUUUUUGUAUCAACUUUGACCAUUUCAUCUAAAAAACAAUUGAUGGUAAUAGACCAAACCUUUUUAUGACAUUCAACAUCACUUAGACCCGUCAAGUCGCAACUCUAAUUUUAUUUCCGGCAAACUUCCCUAAAACCAAAGAUAGACCACUAGUUUCCUUUAAUUUGUUUUAUUAAAGUACAUGGUCUAAAAACAACUUAAAUGCAAGAACUUACAUGUCCAUGGCACGGUAGUAGUUCAAACCCCCAGUAAAUCCAGACUGCUGAAACUUGCUGGCACUAAACUGAAGCUCCUCCUCAGUAAUCCAUGGAGGCAAUUCUGAUGGGGUGUCGAGAAAAUCAAUGAUCUCAACACCAGGAGGAGCAGCCAGAAGAUCAGGCGCAUUCACCAGUAAAAACUUCUUCAAUAUCGUCAAACAAUCAUACCUAGAAAAUGACUUUUCUGCUCUUCCUGGCUCCUGAAUUAAUGCACCACUAAUUAAAGAUAAUGUCGAGAUAUUACUGUUUCAAUAUGAAGUUAUGAACAUACCGACAGCAACUGUUGAUAUAAAUGUACCUGAAACUGAAUUAUGUAGAGACUGUCACCAAAUACUUGGUUCAUGAAUUUGAGUGGUUUGAGCUCCGGUGAGCGUGGCCUGAAGGGAACGCCGAGGUUAACCAGUGCCUUGACCCUAUCUGGCCUCAAGAGGCAAAGGUGCCAGGCCACUUCUGCACCCCAGUCAUGCCCCACUACAAAUGCCUGCUCACCAACACCAGUAUUCAGCACCAUGUUUCACUACAAAAAUGAACUAUUUGUAUUUGGCCUGCCGAAAAUACUAAGGAAAGAAAAUAAAUAACAAAAAAAAAUGAUUUAUCGAAUUUUAAUCUGUUUUUCAUUUUCCUUCUACUUUUCCUUCAAAUUUUCUUUUCUUAACUAUUUCCCUCAAAUUUUUUGAAAACCAAACAUAACCUGGGAAUUUAAUGUAUAAGUGUAAGCCUGCUGAGGGAUGUUCUCGAGAUGAUUAUCAAAAAGACAAAUUGAGACUAAUUCUUAAAGUAGUUAUAAAAAUUAUUUUCAGAAAAAAAAUUUAAAAAUAAUUUCUUCCUUUAUGAAGUUACCAUACACUUACAUAAUAUAUAAAAUUUCUCCAGUAUUAUUUAUAUGUUUAUGAUUGGCAAAAUAUCUUAAUCUUAUUAUAAUCAAUUAACCCUAUAAUUUAUCUUAUUUUUCAAUUCACGACGCUUUUAAAAUCAUCAUUUUUCCUUUUUCGUGAGAAGUAAAAGCGAUUUUUUUAUUUUUUUAUUUUUUAAAUGUUGCAGAAAUACCAAAGCCAUACUAAUCAAGUUUUACCAUGCGCUUGAGCUUCCAAGAAGAUGAUAGAAAAGGCUUUUCCAAGAUAGGAGGUGAAGUACCUUUUCUUCUCCGAGCUGGUCCAAAAGGCCAAUUAGGUCUCCAACAAGGUGGAGUAUGGUGUAUGAAGCUGGAUCAGGGGGAGAAUCAGAGUCUCCGUAGCCUCGCAUAUCGGGCGCGACGACGCGGUAGCCAUGCUUGGCCAAGUGGGUUAUCUGGUAAUUCCAUGAAGACCAUAGCUCAGGGAAGCCAUGAAUGAGGAGAACAAGAGGUCCUUUUCCCAGCUCAGCUACGUGCAUCCAUAUACCAUUUGUACUAAUUCUCCGAUGGAUUAUACCCUCCGUACUCAUGGUUUGAUCUCUCUUUUCCUUUGCUGUUUCUUUUGUUCUGACUUCUGAGUGUUCAUCGGAUUUAUAAUUGAGAGAUUGGGGCUUUCAACACUGGCGGCUUGGAAAAUUCAGAAGCCCUUUACUUGAGAAAAAGGUUUUGUGCAACCCAAUUUCUAGACCCAAGCCCUUAUGGGUUUUCAUGGGCGCAAAUGUCUCUUCUCUAAUGGGCCGGGUUUAACAUUGAUAAUCAUCAGCCCAAUUGAUGAGGAGUGCUUCGGCUCGCCUAUUUAGAGUUUGUUUUAAUCUAUUUGAAAGGAAGGGAAUCAAAAUCAUAAUUUAAAAUUUUAGCUGCUAAAAGUUAAUUCUUACUUCAUUUUGGGCCGAAACGCAAUCCAAUGUAACGGAUUCGGACCAUCCAGUUUGGGCCCAGAGCGGCCCAAGUUCAAACCCACAGUAUGUAAACUCUCUAAACACAGCGUCCUGACCGUGUAAAGCACCUUAGGUUCAUCGUUCCUCCACUUCAUCGCCUGCCAAACCGGGAUGGGGAAGAAGAACAAAACGGAGGGUGGCGGAGGAAGAGACCAUCACUGUCCUUCGACUGUGUUCGUCUCCAACUUUCCUUACUCAUUCACCACUCUCAGGCAUUAUCGAUUAAUCUCUCCUUUCAUCCUCCGUUUGGUUUCUGAGAGAACCGCAGAGCAUGAGGGGAAAUUUUGGACCUUUUUUUUUUCCUUUCCUUUUCUACAUAAACUAAGGAGAUAAUAUUUGUAUUCCCUCAGUCGAGUAGAGUUUUUUGCUUCAUCCCUGGAAAAUCCAGAAUUCAAAUUUUUUGCUUCCUGUUUCGUGGACUAAAUUUGUAUAUACUUUUUGUUUUUUAUUUUUAAAAACUAAAAUAGUUAUAGAUAUUAUUUAAAAUGUACGCUCUUAAAUACUUGUCUUUACUCCUUAAUGCUAUUUUUUUUUUCAAAAAAGCAUGAAAGAAAUUUAAAAAGUGCUAAGUUAUGUUUAGUUCCGGGAAAUAACAAUAAAAGAAAAUUAAAAAAAUCAGAAGAAAAAUAAAAAUAUAUUUAAAAUCAAUAAAUACUACUUCAAGCUCAAUUAACUCUUUUAAACUUUUUUAUAUAAUGAAUAAUUUAAAAAUAUAUAAAUUACUGGUUAAUUUUAAUUAUAUAUAUAUAUUUUCAUAAUAAAAUCAUUCUUUGUUUCUUUACUUUGAUAUUUUCUCAAACCAAACAAGACAAGGAAAAUGAUUUUAUUGUUAUAUUUAAUUUAUUACAAAAAAUAAAUAAAUAAAAGUCAAAUGUAAUUAAAAUCAAAUUUAUAUAUUUUUCAAAAUAUUUAGUAUUUGUAUAAAAGAGUUGAAAUAAAAAAACAACUUUAAUAAUAAUAUAUAAAAAUAAUUUAUUAUUUUUAAAUUUAUUUUUUUAGUUCCAAUUCAUUUUUUUUUUUCAAUUUUCGUAGAACGCAACAUAACUUAAAGAUAAUUAUUUUUAAAAAAAUAAGGUAUUAAAAAAUUUUACUACAUAAAAAAUAGGAGUUAUUAUUUAAAAAAAAAAAAAAAAGGAAGUGCAUCCAAGUGAGAUGUACUUUGUUGCUACUAUCAAGACACCCACGAAAACAAGUUAAACACACAAAUUUCCAUAUCCAGAAAACCACAAAUGCAUAUGCACUAAUCAAGUUCAAGAAAUCAAAAUAACAAAAUUUCGAGGCUAGCAAUGUGAUAAGCUCCACAGUUUAGAUGCCAGAGAGAGUCUAUAACAAGGUUCAUAAUGAAAACAAACCAUUCUGAGCUCAUACUGAAGAUAACAAGUUCGGAGGAAACAAAAGGCAAGCAAGAGAUCCAAUGAAGAACUGCCGAAAUCAACGAUACCGACGAAGGGAGAGCGUGUUGUUCCUUUUCCAAGUGGCCCUGCGAGAAGGGCGUGCUUUGUGGUGCCGGUGACCCUUUCCACGGAGUCCUCUGUAUUUCUUUCCUGCAGAUGUGAGACCGCGAAGCUCCCUGUGUUUGUGCACAGGCUUGCAGAUCCAGUUGAUCCUUGGAUCAUUUCGAAUUGCAUUAUGGGCAGCAUCAACUAGGAUUAUCUCAUAGUAUUUGUAUGUAGAAUCCUGAAUGGAAAAUUUUCAGAGAAAUUAGCUACCGACUAGGAGCUCACAUAUGUGUAUGUGCCAGCAUCAUAUAUAUAUAUAUGAAAAAAAGACGAAUUGAGAGUUCCACGUGUGUGCGCGAGUGAGAGAGGGGGAGAUCAAUAAUUGAAAGUAGGAUUUCAUACUGCCUCUCUCAGCUGUUAACAACAUUUCUUUUUCUUGUUAUUUUAUGCUUUGACAAAAUCUAGCUACCAAGAGUAUUAUUAUAGCUCAAAACAUAACAUAGCCAGUUGGAAGGAGUAAGCAUGCACAAAAUAAACUGCACAACCAACCUCGUUUAUCCAGUACGAGUUGAGAACUUUCAGACCACCUAAUUUCCGACCAGCACGUUCUUCAGCAACUGACCUCUUGCUACGUUGGAACUUCAGCUGGGUGACACCCUGGUUUGUAGGCUUUCCAUAAACAAUGCCCUUGGGAACAGGCCUCUUCCGACCACCACGUCUAACACGAACACGAUAGAUAACAUACCCCUAAAAUAGAAAAUAGUGUUUGGCAUUAUAAUCAAAGUAAAAAGAAUCAUCGUCUUGAUGCUUAUCAAAUUAAUGGGCCAGUUUGUCAUAAUUUUAAACAAAUGGGGAAGUUUAUAAGCCACUGAAAUGAGCCUCAAAAAAAUGGUGGGGAAAGAAAACCCCAAGAAUGCUUUAAUCCAUCUUAGUUUUGAAUCAUUUUGCACUUCUAUGGGCAAUUUUAAAUUAUUAACUAAUGACAUGAUAAGAUAUCAAUUCAUGAUAUCUCUAUAUCCAAUACCCUGACAGGUGCAACUGGGUACCAAAAUCAAACAGACGGCUAAAAGCCUUUUUUCAAAAGAAAAAAACACUAUUGUAAACAUUAUGAUAACAAUUCACAUGCAGGCUUGACAAAGGAAACUCCAAUAAUUGGUCAAUCGUCAUCAUGUACACUAUGCUUGGACAAGUAAACUUGUGUCUUAAGAAUAGGCUCAUAUUCCAUCUCAACAAAACACAUUAGAACGGAUCUAAAUGUGUUUUUUCCCCUUUUCUUUGGUGGGUGGUAGGAGUUGUAACAAAUAUGCAUACCUUCCCUUUUAGGUAGGCUUGUACACAAGUAACUCAGAUGAUUGCAUUUCCAGUAGAAGCUACUACUAAGUAUCUUAAUACAUUUGGUUUAAUCUCAGCACCCAGCCUCAGCCAAGUUGAGACAACAAGCUAUAAGGCCAUAGUUUGAGGAAUAGUCCACCUAUUAAAAAUGGGUGCAUGAAUAACCAAACAAAUAGACACAUGAGUGCGUAUGGCCGUAAGUUAGCAGCAGUUCCACUUUUAAAUGGAAAAAGACAACAUUUGAAAGUAAUCUCAAGACACAACCUUACAAAUAAGGAUAUUUUCCUUAUUCCCCAUGGGUUUCUCCUCCUACUCAACAUCCAAAAACAAUAUUGAGAAGCAGAAAAGGAAAACCUAGCCUUGCAGGAACACAUGAAAGUGACAGAGAGAAUCGAUCUGCUUUCACUAAUUUCCAUUUUACACUACUUUUACAAAUUCCAGUGUUCAGGAGAGAUAGGAUGAUGAAUAGGAUAAGUCAUAAUACAAUCAAGAGAAUGAGGGAGGAAAGCUUAAAAGGGUAAUGCCGCAUAAAGAGAGUCAUGUAGUAAUUAAAAACCAGAAGGGAAAUAGAGAUUAUAGAACUAAUGAAUUUCCCCACUCCCUAGAAAGAAAUUUGUUUUUAUCAUUCAGAAAAUAGGGAGAUUACUUACCCACUAUAAAUAUCCCUUCAUUAGUAAACAAAGAUGUUUUGGAGAUAAGCAAAAGAAUUCAACUGUUUUUAAUAUGUCUGGGAGAACUGGAUCCAAAUAUCAAUCCUGUCUCCAAGAUUAUACGAACCCACAAAAUAAUGCUGUUGUCCCAAUGCCCUCCCAUGGAGGUAGACCUUCUGAUGGGGUAAAGCAUUUAAUGAUAAAUUUUCAAAACAAGGAGGUUUCGCAUAAGAGUGUCUGUAGCCUCUCGGCUCAAUUAGAAAAUAGAGCAAAACUCGAAACUUUAAAAUUGAAGCUGAAAUUGCCAACAUAUUAUAUUAUGUAUUUCUGGGAUCAUAUCACCAGCAAUCCUGCACUUUCUUUCAUGAUUGUGAUUUUAUAUUGUUUAUCCUUUACUUUGAACUUAUUUCAGGAUGGAAAAUUGAAAAAAAGCAAGUGAUUGCAGAAAGCAUAAGGUCUUGUAUCAGCUAAGACGUUCCGAACGAAGGCAGAACUGACAAUUUCUUAAUAUGUUCUAUGUAAAAUGGAGUUCUUACAUGAUCAAAGGCAACAAUGCUUAAACAGAAUACAUCAUGGUUAGAAUCAAUGUAUAGACCAGCUCAAUUCUUACCUGCUUUGCUUUAUACCCCAGACGGCGAGCCUUGUCAGGUCGUGUGGGCCUCGUAACACGAACAAUUGAAGGGUGUUGGCGAUACUCCCAGCACCUGACCCUCUGCAGAAACCUCAUAACAUCGGACUGCUUCUUUCUCCAUAAUUCAGAAACAUACAUGUAAGCCCC